GGAGGGCCCUGGGCUGUGACGUGGCUCUGGGAAAACGAAAGCAGAGCCGGAGGGCAGGAAAUGGAAAUUUCGGACUUUGCGGCAGAGAAAACCCCUCGGCUUUUCCUGUCUGCCGAGCGUUCCCUGCUCCUCUCUGAGUUUGGACAUUUCUGUGCCAGCUCUGUGGGUAACAGAAACCGAGGCAAACUUGGGAGGAAUCUCCUCAUAAAAGCACUUUACCAAGAAAUGCUUUUUCUCUGCCUCUGGAUGAGGAACAUAGCGCAGCACAUUUUCAUUUCUUCCCUUGCCGAGGGCUCUGGGGGAUUUGGCUCUGUUGAAGCCGCUCAGGGAGAUGGAUUUGGGGUUUGUAAUCUGAUAUUUCUGCCUGCAGGUGACCGAGCCCCAGAGAGCCGAAGGCAAAGGUUCCACGCUGGAGCAGCCUCCAAGUGGAUUUCAGUGCAGAUGGAAAAUCCCUGGGGCUGGAGGGCGAUGGAGCCUCGCUGGCCAGGGACAAACCCGUUCUAUUGCCCCUGCUGAGAGCCUUGAAUACUCCAGAAUUCACGGUGGAUUUCAGCUGCCUGCCCGAGGCUGUGAAGGCGCUGGCGCGCGACGGCUGCAGGGCCCUGCAGGAGCAGCAGUGCCACAGCGCCGAGCUCGCCUUCUCGCGGCUCCUCAGCAUCCUCUGCGCCUCGGGCGUGGCGGUGAGAGCGGCCAAAGCCCCUGCCCGGGGACCCCCU
This 716-nucleotide long non-coding RNA is filed under the name Junco hyemalis (dark-eyed junco). RNAcentral describes it as "lncRNA (ENSJHYG00000002186.1)". The record is from RNAcentral. Lineage: Eukaryota; Metazoa; Chordata; Aves; Passeriformes; Passerellidae.